Molecule: long non-coding RNA, 1721 nt
Filed under: Phocoena sinus (vaquita)
Lineage: Eukaryota; Metazoa; Chordata; Mammalia; Artiodactyla; Phocoenidae
Description: lncRNA (ENSPSNG00000000545.1)
Source: RNAcentral
ACACAUGUGGCAAACAUAUUUCUAACGGUCAGACCUAGUCCCACUGACAAAGGACAAUUUGCAGAGAUAAAAUAUUUAUAUUCUCCUUUGUAAAGUCGUUUAGGGCAAAGUUCCUGGAAUCUUCACACAUGCCAAUGCAGCUACUGUUCUGACAGGUAGACAACAUUUAGGAAAUUGUCACCUCCAGGUUAAAACUCAAGGUUAUACAUUUCCAGUGAGCUUUAGGCUGAAGAAUCAGCUGUGAAGAUACCUGACAAGGACACAACGAGAGGAACCGAAGUAUGAGUCAAGACUGUGGGAAGAUGUGCGAAUUAAAGUUGAAGCAUUCUAAAUCUCAUUUUGAAAAAUUUUCUCCUGAAGCUAGAAACGUAACAUUCAGAAGAGACACUCCAAACAAGGGGACUUGGUUGAUGCUAGCAGGAACAUUCAGCUCAGAGCCAACCGAAACUGGACAGAAAGCAGCCAAGAAAUGGCAUCUGGGGCUCGGCAGCCGAAACCUCUGGAUUUCCGCUCUCCGGGAGCCGGCGGCGAGCUCGCCGCGGCGUAAGCGCCUCUGGACCCCCGAGCCCGGGGAGGCGCUGGAGCACCCGGAGAGGGAGGAGGGAACCCGGUCUAGGCGGAGCAAAGCUCGUCGCCACGGCGACCGCCCGAGCCGCAAACAGCCCGGUGAGCGGAGCGAGAAGCAGCCCGAGCGGACGCCGGGGAGAAGCGCGGGCCGGCUGGCCCCCACCCGUGGCGUGUCCCCGCGGAGCGCCGGAGGGCAGCGCCAUGGACAAGCUGGUACUGUGCGUGCUCGCUCCGCGCGGCUCCCACGCUCACCCCGCCCCGCCCCGGCACAUGCGCGGCCUCCCAGCUGCCGGGUGCUCGCGGCUCCACGGGGUCCGCGCACGGGCGGGGUGGGCUUCGGUUGCGGGCUUCAGCUUCAGGGCGUGGGUCCUGAAAGCGCCUUCGUGAGCCUGAGGGGCUGGAGUUGCCGGGUUUUGAGUUUGGCGUGUUUUGCUCAGGAGGCCAGGGCACUCAUAAAAUACAAAAGCCUAGGUUCGGGGACCACCUCUCCCCUUUAUCUUCAAGUUGCUGCGGAAAGGCCACUAGUGGGCUGCGUCGUGGACCCAAGCAACCCUUGACCCAUAGCGAGCAUCAGAUAGGUCCAGGUGUGGCGGAGGCAGCCCUUGUGGGAAGUUGUUGGCUGUAACUAGCUCUCAUUAGCCCUUGGGUUUGGACAAAAGCCAGUGUUUAGUUUCCUUGGAGAGAGGGAGAGGGGUGAGGUGCAGAGGAAGCCCCAUUGGGCAGUUUCCUGGUGUCUUUUACUCUUGCCUGAGUGCACAGCAGGUGAGAAAGGGCCGGAAACGAACUCUGCAUUUAAAUCAGCGUUCGCUUCAUUUGGCUUUGCUCGCUCUCUUAAAUGAAUAUUGUGGAGUGGAAAAAAAAGUCCAGGUACUUGUUUUUGCAUUUAUCUCCAAAAGUGAUUCCUGCUCUUUGGAAUUCAGGGAACGUCUAGGAGAGUAAAGCUUUUUCUACAAACAAGAAACUAGGGACACGGAGGGGCUUAUGUACGCAGGAGGGCCCGGCAAGGUCCUACUCAGUUUCAAUAUAGAUUUCUGUGGUUGCAUUAUACAUUUUAUCAUUUACACUAUCUGUAACUGUAUUACAAUAGGAAUAUAUUAUGCUAAUCAAUAAAAUAUGCAUCCUGCCAUGAUUUAAUAAACAUAAUUGUAUUACUG